Molecule: transfer RNA, 95 nt
Filed under: Bacillota bacterium
Lineage: Bacteria; Bacillati; Bacillota
Description: tRNA-Ser
Rfam family: tRNA
About the family: Transfer RNA (tRNA) molecules are approximately 80 nucleotides in length.
Source: RNAcentral
GGAGAGAUGGCCGAGAAGGUCGAAGGCGGUCGCCUGCUAAGCGAUUAAGCGAGCUUAAACUCGCUUCCAGGGUUCGAAUCCCUGUCUCUCCGCCA